Apis laboriosa (Himalayan honeybee) is the source of this 7452-nucleotide RNA transcript. RefSeq lists it as uncharacterized. NCBI's taxonomy places the organism in Eukaryota, Metazoa, Arthropoda, Insecta, Hymenoptera, Apidae. The record is from RefSeq and is a predicted model, not a curated record. The transcript is spliced from 14 exons.
UUAAUAUAAUUUCCGCGUUUAUAUGAUGUUUUAGAAAGUGAAUUUAAUUGAAUUAUAAUAAAUAUUCGCAAUGUGACAUUCAUAAUAAAGUGAAGAACAAUGGAGCAAGUGUUUUCUGUUGCUGACAAACUGUCAAAAGUGAUCAGAAAUAUGCAAAAAUGUUUACAAUGCACAAUUUGUCUACAAACAAUAUCAGAUCCGGUAAAAACAUUUUGCGGACAUCGAUUCUGUCGUGUAUGUAUUCAAACAGUGAUACAAAAUAAAAAUGCGCUCUGUCCACUGUGUAAUUGUGCCAUACAGCGUCGCAAUAUUUCAAAAGAUGAGAACAUGGCGCUAUAUAUCAAACAAUUACAGAAUAUAAUUGAAGCAAUUCAGUUAGAUUCAGGCAUCGAUAUAGUGACUCAUUUAUCAGUAUUAAACACGUGCGAGACCUCAUCGAACAACACAGAGUUCUGUUCCAAAUCCAACACCGAGGAUGUGACAAAACCAAGCUGCUCUUACACGAACGAGACUCGUCAAAAGAUACAACCAGCCGGCAACAAUAAUGGAAAAGGCAGAAGCAAAAAGGGGCGAAGAAAGUCCACGCAGAAGAAGAAAAUCAUGGUUAAGGAAAGCAACAGCAUGACGAGAUACUUGUCGAAAUGCGGCCUCUCCGGCAUAGAACCGUUGGAGGCGUCGAACGAGAAUUACUCGGGCGAGAAAUCGUUAAAGGAUAAAGUGUGCAGCUGGCUGGAUACUUUGCCGGGGAACGAGAAUUUGGUCGAUUUUGACGUAGUCACAAAAGUGGAGCACGUGGAUUCCGAUCUGGACGAUACACUGACCAUGUCGGUUUCCGAUGCCCAGAGCAACAGGAUAAGAGACACGAACGUGGAUGCCGAGCUCGUCCUCGAACCAUCGAUGUGCAAUAAAAGUGAUACCAAUCGAUCGACGUGCAAAGAGAUUCCGGAGAGUUUCUCGAACAAGAACGAGAGCAACGAGAAUGAUAAAAAGUCUAGAAUAAACGUGGGAAAUUACUCGUCGAAGACGGGCUUCCAGCCAGACGAUACCAAGUCUAAAACUGUUAAAUCGAGCGAGGAUGACAAGGGGAAGAGCGAGGAAAAAUUCAUCGAGGUCCAGAGAACGUCUCCUUGCGACAUGUUGUCCGCUAUGCAGAGGAACUGGUCCUCGGUGGCCAAGUUCGGCAAGGAGAUGCGCGCAAAGAGGAAGAGAUUGAAGUCUUUGGACGUGAGUAUCGAGAACAGAGGGAAACGUCGAUCGAUGGACGAGGCGGGCGAGGUGGACGAAGAGAAGGUCGGAUCGUUCGGUCGGACAGGAGGGGCGAGCGACAGGCGAGGAGGGAGUAAGUGCGAAAAAUCGAAUGAGGAUGGAAAUGUUGACGGGGCUAUCGUGGAUGAGGAAUUCCUCGAAUGCGAGAAAAGUUUGGGAACUCGUCGCGAUGAGAGAGAGGACAGAGAAAGAUCGAUAUCGGCGGAAGUUCAGCCGUCCGGCGAAUCGUCCUUCGUCACGUUGGAGAAGGAUGGCAAGAUACGCAUCCGGAAUUUGAACAGCUGUCAGAUGAAAGCGAUCAUCGGUGUCUCGGAUGAGAAUCGUCGAAUUGAGGAGGACAACAGAGAGGAGGAGGGAGAAGAGGAAACGGAGAGACAGAUGGAGGUGUUCAACACGCCUAUUCACGAUCGUUCAAAGAUAUUUUCCCAAAUGACACCGGAAGGAUCACACGAUGACCAAGAUCGAGCGAAUCUGGUUGACGAAUCGGUUAACGAGCGAAGCUUACCGACAAAAGGCCGAAUGGACGAGGAACAUCGUUCCACGCCGUCGAAAUAUCAAAUCUCCACGCCUAGCCGUAAGAGGUUGUCGUUGAGAAGACAGAGCGAGGAUUCGAAAUCGAAUAACACCUCGAACUCGGACGUUGGCUCGCGAUUGAACGCCGUCAGGCGAGACUUGAAUCGUCAGAUUGACAAAGAAGAAGGAAAUGUUGAUGUAGGUAAGGGGAACGUGGACGGAAUAAUCGGAACAGGGAAACGUAAAACCACGGGUGAUGAACGAGAGAGAAAUUUAACAUCGAAUGAUUACGCGGGCAGAAGGGUGGGGGAUAAGAAGCGUAAUGCGUCCCUGGUCACGUUUAAGAAGCUGGGGAAAUUUUACAAACGAGGCAACGAGGGGAGGAUAAAGAAACGCGUCCCGUUCUUUUAUUUGAGCGCAACCGGGAAGGAAACGAGUUAUUAUCCCGGUUUGCACACGCAUAAAUCGUGUAAUUUCGUUGCCAUGUGUAACGUGAAGCUUGAAGAAGGGAUUGACAAGAGUGGAACAAGUAUAGUAUCGAUAACAGAUAAUAGCAGCAACGUUAAAAAUGUCGAAGCCGCGAAGGAACCGAUAAAAUCGAAGGUGAAAGUGGAGCAUCAAAUUGUAUCCGAAAACCAGGAAGAUGUGGCUGCCGGACGAAUUUCGUGCGAGGAAAUUAUGCCUCGUCCAAUCGGCAACGCGAAUAAAUCUUACGACGUGGACGUGCUCUUGAUAUCCUCGGACGAUGAACCAUCGAUCACGCCUCCAAUUCCUAAAACCGAUUCGUCGUGCAAGGACACAGUGAAAAUAUCAUCGCCGUCGUCGAAAGAUCGUUCCCUGCCACGAUUCCUCUCUUCGUCCCCUCCGAUAGACACUCUUCAAACCCAAAAACUGAACGAUCCCGAGCCCGAACCAGCGAGGAGCAAAGGAAAGAAACCGCACUCUUUCGCGUGUAUUUCGCCGCAAUGCAAUUCCUGUUGCGCGCCGAUCGCGAAAUGUUCGAGCGGGAAUCAGAGGGCACUUUUCCACGAGGGGACGAAAAAAAAUUCGGAGAACGAGGGCGAGAAUGAUGAUUCGAAUCACAGUCUGUCGUCCCAGACCACGUGUAUCAGAACUACGACGCCCGAGGUGAAAAAUUUAUCGAGGAAAAGUAAUUUGAACGAGAAGAAACGAUCGCCGAAUCCGAGCAGCAGGGAAACCGAGGUUAUUCAAACAGGGCAGAAUUCGGAUCAGGACGCGGCGAAAACUUGCAAGAAGGAGAUACGAGAAAAGGUGUACAACAGGAUCGUGUUGUUGGAUAGUUCGGAAUCCGAAUCUAUGGACUUCGUUCUCUUGGAGGACGGUAACGAUCGUUCUGAUGCUUCUCCGAAAACCGAAAAGAGAAAACGUACCGCCUCCUUCGAUUCGGUCGACGAAACAGACUUGAACGCGAUUGUGAGCAAUUGGUGCAACGAUGGAAUUCUCGACGAGAGGUGUAAGAAGAAAGGGAAAUUGGAACGAGUUCGCGAUACUCUUGAUUCGAGCACGUCUAGGGACAAUUUUUCCACGAAAUCUUUGGACCUGGUGGUUGGCAAAUUUGGAAAGGAGAAAUCGAAUUCCAAUUGGACGAAGAACUUGGAGGACAGGAUGGCGCCAGUUGUCGACGAGGAUUCCCCUGAUUUUUGCGCGGUAAUAGACAAAGUGCAGAAUGUACGGAAGGGAACGAUGAUAUUUAAGGAGAACCAACAACGAGAGAACGCGAAGACCGCGGACAAUUUGAUGCAUGAUAACUUCGACGAUAUCAUUGCGAAUGUGAACACAGCAGAUCUGAUCACCGAUUCUGAUGAUGGAAAGGGGAACAAAUCUAGAAGGGAAGAAUAUACGGAGGGAAAGAAUGAUUGUGAGAGAAAAUCUAAACACGUAAAAUCGUAUAGCGAAAAAAUUCGAUCAUGGAACAAGGAAAUUCCACAUAAAUAUUCCAACGGUUCUGAUAAAGAAAACAGGAACAAAAUGGACGUGUCUGGGAGUGACAAUGGUGAUGAUGAAGAUCUAGUAUGUGUAAAUGUGAGUAAUAAGAAUUGGAGGAGGGAUAGAUUUCAGGAAGAAAUGAGAGUCGAAUCGUGUAGUAAAGAAUCGAGAACAUUGAUAGAGAAUCCAAUGUCUUCGUCUGAUAAGAAAUUCCAAAUGAAUAACAGUGCGAAUAGUUCGAUAGUUAAAGAUAUGCACGAUUAUGAUUCUUUGAUGGCCAUCACGCAAGAUGAUUUGAUGAUUAAACAAUUCGAGGAAGAUCUGUUUGGUAAACCUUCUAAGCAUUCUAAUGAUACUUUAAAUAAGGAACAGAGAACUCCAAAAAGUCUAAAGAAGAAUAAAGAAUAUUCAAGACAGAAUGAAAAGAAUAUCCAGGACGUUGAACACUCGGAUGAAGAAGACGACAUUGUUGAGAACACUCCUAAAGCAAAGAGGAAAAAAUUAGAAGCAAUAAAUUCGCCGAGGGAGAGUUUGCCAUCGAUCUCGAAGACCAUCGAAAAGUCAGCCUACGUCAGAACACCAUCAUCGAUCAUGACCAUUGGAAGCAACCUGGCUAGCACUCCAGGCUCGACGACCAAUAUCCAACCACUCCAUCAAAGCACCCCUAAAACGCAGCAAUUCAAAAAUAUAAUCGGUAUCGCAAAGCGAAUUUCUGUCAUGAACGAACAGUCCAACAAACAGAACAUUGUUCAGAGAAUCGGUAGUCAGAAGAGUGCUUCUCAGAGAAGCAACGUUCAGAAUAUCGUUCAAAAAGGUAUCGAGCAGAGGAUCAAUAUCCAGAGAAGCGAUCUUCAAAACACUAUUCAAAGGAGCGAUCAGAGGAACAGUGACCAAGAAAGUAACGUUCAAAACACUAGUCAAAGGAACAAGGAUCAAAGAGGCAUCGAUCAGAGAAGCAUUGUUCAAAACGAAAUCGUUGAAAGGAACAAUAUUUCCUCUCAGAAGACAAUUGUUCGGAAUACGCAGAAACUCUGUUUCGUAUGCAGCGGUCUGGUAUCGUCCGAAACAGAGCAAGUGAAGAUGUUGACGCAAAAAGUGAACGCGAAAUACAGAACGCAAUUUGAUCACGAGGUGACACACGUGAUAGUGAAAACGGACAAAGACAAUAGCGCUAACAAGACACUGAAAUAUCUGCAGGGAGUAGCCCAUAAAAAAUGGAUCGUGGGCUUCGAUUGGGUGAUCAAUUCGUUGAAAGAGAAUAGGUUGGUGAACGAGGAACCGUACGAGGUUGUAGACUCCAGAACUCUCGAGGCUGGCCCUCGAAGGUCACGGCUCAGGGAGGAGGAUCUAUUCACCGGAUUCGUGUUUUUCUGCAAUGGACCUUAUGAUAAUGUUUCCGUAGAACAAUAUCAGGACAUGUUACGCGCUACUGGUGCCAUUGUGGUCCAGUCUCUAUCCGCUCUAGCCGCUGAAAAAAGUCGGUUGAGGAUCAUCAUGAUCCAGGCCGAUAUGUAUGAGUACGAAAUUAUAAAAUGGUAUAGAAUGGUUCAUGCCAUAUCAAUCGUCCACGAAUGGGUAGUCGAGUGUAUCAGUCAAUACAAACUGAUAUCAUUCUAUCCAUAUCUACAGGAAUUAUCGCGACAAGAUGUACUCGCACUUGGUUAUCCAGAAUAUCUUCUCGAAGAAGAGGUUGACGAGGACUCUGAUAACUCAUGUGAUGUGUCAAUGUGAUAUUCGAAUCAGGUUCAUUUAAUUUUAAUGUAAUUUCACGCUGAUUCUUAUCUGCUUUCGUGUCCAAUUUACAUCAGUGCCAAAUCUUUCUAAUCAAAAUAAUAAAAUUGGAUAAGGAAGGAACGAAAUUCAAGGAACGAAACGUCUUCUCCUGAGAUACGAUUUUAAAAAUGAUUUAUCAAUUUAUCAGCAAUGGAUUAGCAUAGAAAAUAAUUUAUUUUAUUAUUUACUCGUUGUGUGACUUGCAAAACGAAAACGAUAUCCAUUAUGUAUGAAGAAUUAUGGAGAAGGCAAAUGAGAUUCUUUUAAUCUUCAAAUUGAACAUUAACGACGAAUUUACCAAUAACUCGAGCAAAUCGAGUUACUCGACCGCAUUUCCGAUUUGAGUUUAAUGGCCCUACAAAUCUGAUGAUGGACGACACAACAAAAAAAUUUAAUGCAUCUUUCGAUGCGUUAUAAAUUUCAAUGCGAUGUAAUCUAAAUCUAAAUGUACAUCUCUUUGGAAAAUAAAGGGAGAAAUCGUUCGUGGAGGAUUUUUUUGUGUGUAGUGAAAAAUAAUCGAGACGCUUAAAUGCAGAGAUCCUGCAUAUUGGCGUAGAAUAAGAAAUAUAAUUGUUUUGCAAUUAUUAGAGUGAAAAUAAAUUACGAAUAAUUGUCUAGAGGAAAAGGAGAACAACAAGAAAUACAAUGCUGCUGGAAGAUCGUACGAGAUUAAGUAUUGAAAAAAAUUGAUAAAUGAAUCAAUGUGUUAUCAAAAAUUCCCUAUCUUUCCUCCUAAAUUAAUAAUAAUAAUCCAAAUUACUAAAAAUACAACUACAAAAGCAAGGAGUGCAAAGUUCUUUCGCGAAUCGAAUUACACCGAUUUCGCCGCGAAGGAACGAGGAAUAGUCAACACCCUAAUUGGGAACCUUUUUCGUAAUUGGGAAAUCCUCCCUCUCGCGAGUUUGGAUCCAUCACUCUGGUUGAGCAGGAAGGAACAAUCCUCGUGUGACAAUCCUCGUUUCCGUCGGCGGAAGUUUGGGAAAACGGGGGGAGGGGGUUGUCCAAACCGCCGGAAUUCGAGCUGUAAAUAUAGUUUCGUGGGAGUGAGGGGACGCGAACGAGGCAGAAAUUCGAUUUUGCCUCGCGGAAUCUGCGGUCCGCAGAGGUGUUCCGCAGGAACGUAACGACGACAAAGCGUGGAAACCACGCGUGCCAUCUCGGCAAUCCGGCUGUCCUAACUAGGAGGCCGAUAAAUGGACGGCUUGAUAACAGUAAUUUAUGAGAGGACGACGAGAGGAGGUCGGCUUAAUUAAUCUUUUGGGCUUGGUUAACUGUAGAUUUGCUCGUAUGACGACCAUUACAAGGGAAAAACGUCAAUUCUUAGAAGGAAUAUAAAAUGAAAAUAUAAAAACAUUCGUAAAAAAACAAAUUAAUAGAAUCGUGGAUGAGUGUAUUGAGGAGAUGAAAAUGAAGAAAGAAGAGAAUGUAAAGAAUUUCAGGAAAUACAUAUUAUGGUGAAUCAGAGGAUUCAAAGUUAAUUUAUAAUGACAGGAAGUUUGGUAUUUGACUAUUUGCAUAAAUUCCACGAAUUCAAUCCUGCUAGCGUGGAUACUGCAGUGGAAACGUUCGUUGUAGAAAUGAUCGUUUACAAUCGAGAUUUACAAUCGUUUGAAAACUUUUUCAUUAAUUUGCAACAUAGUAAACCUUUAUACAAGAAAUAUUAUUGAUACUGUAUAAUCGUUGCAGAAUUAAUAUCGAUUCAUGGGAAAGUUGUUCUCGAAAGGAUUUCGAGUUUCUGUAAUUUUGGUGAUUGAAAACACGUUUGAUGCAUAGAAUGGUUAUUGGUAGUGAUGAGUCUUUUGACAUGGUAUAAAUUCAUUGGAAAUUUCGUACGAAUAAAUUGUACACUACUAGUAUAUUGGUAUUGAAGAGAAAUAUUGAAAAUUCGGUUAUCGACAUUGUUUGAUCGUUGUAAAAUAUUGUUUUAUGUUUCUGGAACAAUAAAGUAUUCAA